GUGAAUCAUCGAAUUUUUGAACGCAUAUUGCACUCUCUGGUAAUCCGGAGAGUAUGUCUGUUUGAGGGUAAUUAAAAAGACUCUUUUACUAAUUUUUUUUGGUCAAAGGAAAUGAGCUCUUCGCGUUUAUAGCGGUAGCUUGAAAUAAAUGGUCAAGUUUCAUUUUUGUCGAGACGCGUAAUAAUAUUAUUUCGCGUAAUCUUUAUUAUGUGACUAUCAAGUUUUGCCGCAUUCUAAUUUGCGUUGUAUUCGAUCAAUACAAAUAUUCUGAACAUUACCU
RNAcentral lists this unclassified non-coding RNA (280 nucleotides) under Ambisporaceae sp. Its description in RNAcentral is "partial contains 5.8S ribosomal RNA and internal transcribed spacer 2". The stretch from base 1 to 71 matches the Rfam family "5.8S ribosomal RNA", at positions 84 to 154 of the family's 154-position model. The record is from RNAcentral. Lineage: Eukaryota; Fungi; Glomeromycota; Glomeromycetes; Archaeosporales; Ambisporaceae.